RNAcentral lists this ribosomal RNA (253 nucleotides) under uncultured bacterium. RNAcentral describes it as "partial 16S ribosomal RNA". It matches the Rfam family "Bacterial small subunit ribosomal RNA", at positions 524 to 776 of the family's 1533-position model. The record is from RNAcentral.
UACGUAGGGGGCAAGCGUUAUCCGGAUUUACUGGGUGUAAAGGGAGCGUAGACGGCAUGGCAAGUCAGAUGUGAAAGCCCGGGGCUCAACCCCGGGACUGCAUUUGAAACCGUCAGGCUGGAGUGCAGGAGAGGUAAGCGGAAUUCCUAGUGUAGCGGUGAAAUGCGUAGAUAUUAGGAGGAACACCAGUGGCGAAGGCGGCUUACUGGACUGUAACUGACGUUGAGGCUCGAAAGCGUGGGGAGCAAACGGG